UGGGGAAUAUUGCACAAUGGGGGAAACCCUGAUGCAGCGACGCCGCGUGAGCGAAGAAGUAUUUCGGUAUGUAAAGCUCUAUCAGCAGGGAAGAAAAUGACGGUACCUGACUAAGAAGCCCCGGCUAACUACGUGCCAGCAGCCGCGGUAAUACGUAGGGGGCAAGCGUUAUCCGGAUUUACUGGGUGUAAAGGGAGCGUAGGCGGCAAGGCAAGCCAGAAGUGAAAGCCCGGGGCUCAACUCCGGGACUGCUUUUGGAACUGUCUGGCUAGAUUGCAGGAGAGGUAAGUGGAAUUCCUAGUGUAGCGGUGAAAUGCGUAGAUAUUAGGAGGAACACCAGUGGCGAAGGCGGCUUACUGGACUGUAAAUGACGCUGAGGCUCGAAAGCGUGGGGAGCAAACAGGAUUAGAUACCCUGGUAGU
RNAcentral lists this ribosomal RNA (422 nucleotides) under uncultured Lachnospiraceae bacterium. RNAcentral's name for it is "bacterial SSU rRNA". It matches the Rfam family "Bacterial small subunit ribosomal RNA", at positions 355 to 794 of the family's 1533-position model. The record is from RNAcentral. Lineage: Bacteria; Bacillati; Bacillota; Clostridia; Lachnospirales; Lachnospiraceae.